AACUUCUGUAUAGGCGUCUUGCUUCGGUUUUAGUCAGAAAUGAGAGGUUGGCUAUUUUGACCUGCAGCUCCCAGAAAACCAUGACUGCUGCUAAUCCCGAAAGAUUUUUGUUUUCUAUCCAUUCAUGUUCAAACACCGUCUGUUAACAACCUUAAUCUGCAUCUCCGAUUUCUACGUGGAAAAAGUUGAAGUGGUUCACAAGGUAGGAGAAUGUGGUUUUUUUUAAAAAAAAUAACAACCCAGACAAGUCGGCUUCUGCGCUCUCUGUUUGCAGGAGCAGCUGCAGCAGCGUUCUCAAGAUGCCCGAGCACAGGCCCAAGAAAUGGAGCAGCUACGGAGGCGCCUGGCGCAGGCAGAGGCCGAAGUAGCCCAGGGGGCCGUGACGUUGGAGGAACAUCGGAGACAACUAGACGUGUUGAAGGAGGUGGGAGACAUGAAAGACCGUACCCUGGAGACAUUUCUGCGAGAGGGGGAAGAGAAGGACCGGAUUUUGCAGAAGCUGCAGGAGCUCUGGUUGAAGAGAACAAGGCAGGGAGCAGGGGGCAAAGUUGCAGGUUUGACUCUUCUGCCUCCCACCACCUGAACCCUCAGCUGCCUGAUGAGCUCAAGAGCUGCAACGCUGAAGAGAUGCUCAGCGAAACGAGUGGUACUUGA
This 654-nucleotide long non-coding RNA is filed under the name Pogona vitticeps (central bearded dragon). RNAcentral's name for it is "lncRNA (ENSPVIG00000001439.1)". The record is from RNAcentral. Lineage: Eukaryota; Metazoa; Chordata; Lepidosauria; Squamata; Agamidae.